This 473-nucleotide ribosomal RNA is filed under the name uncultured marine eukaryote. RNAcentral's name for it is "SSU rRNA". It matches the Rfam family "Eukaryotic small subunit ribosomal RNA", at positions 613 to 1091 of the family's 1831-position model. The record is from RNAcentral.
UUGCGGUUAAAAAGCUCGUAGUUGGAGUUCUGCCAGGUGCCGCCUGUCCGCCCCAGUGGUGAGUACGUGGCGCGCAUUUGGCCCUUUCAAGGGGAGCGUAUUGCACUUAACCGUGUGGUGCGGGAUCCUUGACUUUUACUUUGAGGAAAUAAGAGUGUUCCAAGCAGGCUCUCGUCGUGCAUAGCUCAGCAUGGAAUAAUAGCAUUGGACCUCGAUUCCAAACUGUUGGUUGUAGGAAACGAGAUAAUGAUGAAGAGGGAUAGUUGGGGGCAUUCGUAUUUAACUGUCAGAGGUGAAAUUCUUGGAUUUGUUAAAGACGAACUACUGCGAAAGCAUCUGCCAUGGAUGUUUUCAUUGAUCAAGAACGAAAGUUAGGGGACCGAAGACGAUCAGAUACCGUCCUAGUCUUAACUAUAAACCAUGCCGGCUAGAGAUCGGAGGUUGUUCGUUUUGUGACGCCUUCAGCAUCUUGA